ACUUUCAGUCGUGAGGAAGGUAGUGUAGUUAAUAGCUGCAUUAUUUGACGUUAGCGACAGAAGAAGCACCGGCUAACUCCGUGCCAGCAGCCGCGGUAAUACGGAGGGUGCGAGCGUUAAUCGGAAUUACUGGGCGUAAAGCGCAUGCAGGUGGUUUGUUAAGUCAGAUGUGAAAGCCCGGGGCUCAACCUCGGAAUUGCAUUUGAAACUGGCAGACUAGAGUACUGUAGAGGGGGGUAGAAUUUCAGGUGUAGCGGUGAAAUGCGUAGAGAUCUGAAGGAAUACCGGUGGCGAAGGCGGCCCCCUGGACAGAUACUGACACUCAGAUGCGAAAGCGUGGGGAGCAAACAGGAUUAGAUACCCUGGUAGUCCACGCCGUAAACGAUGUCUACUUGGAGGUUGUGGCCUUGAGCCGUGGCUUUCGGAGCUAACGCGUUAAGUAGACCGCCUGGGGAGUACGGUCGCAAGAUUAAAACUCAAAUGAAUUGACGGGGGCCCGCACAAGCGGUGGAGCAUGUGGUUUAAUUCGAUGCAACGCGAAGAACCUUACCUACUCUUGACAUCCAGAGAACUUUCCAG
RNAcentral lists this ribosomal RNA (579 nucleotides) under Vibrio parahaemolyticus. RNAcentral describes it as "bacterial SSU rRNA". It matches the Rfam family "Bacterial small subunit ribosomal RNA", at positions 432 to 1003 of the family's 1533-position model. Lineage: Bacteria; Pseudomonadati; Pseudomonadota; Gammaproteobacteria; Vibrionales; Vibrionaceae. The record is from RNAcentral.